UGACAAGAUCGACUGUAUUCAUGUGCUUCCUGCCAGCCACAGAAGCAGAAAAGUGGUGCUAAAAAUCACAUCUAAAGGACACCUAUUCCACAAUUAUGCUUGUAUUUGCAGAACACAGCAAAAAAGAUUACAGUUCCGUGAACAUCAUCACACCCUGUGACAAAAGAAGCAGCGUAAUCUUCCCAUCUAAAUAAAGCAAAUAAGCACAGUGUUCCUGAGCCAGA
Long non-coding RNA from Podarcis raffonei (Aeolian wall lizard), 224 nucleotides. RefSeq lists it as uncharacterized. The transcript has 2 exons. Lineage: Eukaryota; Metazoa; Chordata; Lepidosauria; Squamata; Lacertidae. The record is from RefSeq and is a predicted model, not a curated record.